RNAcentral lists this ribosomal RNA (374 nucleotides) under uncultured Alphaproteobacteria bacterium. RNAcentral's name for it is "bacterial SSU rRNA". It matches the Rfam family "Bacterial small subunit ribosomal RNA", at positions 521 to 896 of the family's 1533-position model. Lineage: Bacteria; Pseudomonadati; Pseudomonadota; Alphaproteobacteria. The record is from RNAcentral.
UAAUACGAAGGGACCUAGCGUAGUUCGGAAUUACUGGGCUUAAAGAGUUCGUAGGUGGUUAAAAUAGUUGGUGGUGAAAUCCCAGAGCUUAACUCUGGAACUGCCAUCAAAACUUUUUAGCUAGAGUAUGAUAGAGGAAAGUAGAAUUUCUAGUGUAGAGGUGAAAUUCGUAGAUAUUAGAAAGAAUACCAAUUGCGAAGGCAGCUUUCUGGGUCAUUACUGACACUGAGGAACGAAAGCAUGGGUAGCGAAGAGGAUUAGAUACCCUCGUAGUCCAUGCCGUAAACGAUGUGUGCUAGACGUUGGAAAUUUUAUUUUCAGUGUCGCAGCGAAAGCGAUAAGCACACCGCCUGGGGAGUACGACCGCAAGGUUA